GAUGAAGAACGUAGCGAAAUGCGAUAAGUAGUGUGAAUUGCAGAAUUCAGUGAAUCAUCGAAUCUUUGAACGCACAUUGCGCCCCUUGGUAUUCCAUGGGGCAUGCCUGUUCGAGCGUCAUUUGUACCUUCAAGCUUUGCUUGGUGUUGGGUGUUUGUCUCGCCUUUGCGUGUAGACUCGCCUUAAAAUAAUUGGCAGCCGGUGUAUUGAUUUCGGAGCGCAGUACAUCUCGCGCUUUGCACUCAUAACGACAGCGUCCAAAAGUACAUUUUACACUCUUGACCUCGGAUCAGGUAGGGAUACCCGCUGAACUUAAGCAUAUCAUAAGCGGAGGA
Molecule: unclassified non-coding RNA, 335 nt
Filed under: soil metagenome
Description: partial contains 5.8S ribosomal RNA, internal transcribed spacer 2, and large subunit ribosomal RNA
Rfam family: 5.8S ribosomal RNA (bases 1-120)
Source: RNAcentral